RNA transcript from Drosophila novamexicana, 1596 nucleotides. RefSeq lists it as uncharacterized. The transcript is spliced from 3 exons. The record is from RefSeq and is a predicted model, not a curated record. Lineage: Eukaryota; Metazoa; Arthropoda; Insecta; Diptera; Drosophilidae.
CUUUAAAAGACUUCUAGAAAUGAAAGUUCCUUUUGAAAUAUUACUCUUUGUAAUUGUAAUAAACGUUUUCACAGCCGAAAGGCACAGAAAUAGAGUGAAAAGUCGUAAUUCACUAGAUGACCAUCAGGGACACAAUCAGCUUGUACAACGCAAGAGAUUAUCCGAGCAACAUACAUUUAAAAGAAGGAAUGGUCGAAUUCAAAAUGAGGCUGCUUUGCAAAAUAACCAACGUAGUUUAUGGAAAUGGAUUGUAAAAACUACGAAAAAAGUUACGAAGGUAGUUAGCUCUGCAGUUAAAACAGUUGUGAAUUUGUUUAUACCCAGACCACCCCCAAGGCCGAACCCCACACCACCCAGGCCAGUGCCCACGAGAAGACCACCAACAACGACAACAGUCAGAAGUGAACCUUUUUGGCCCGAAGAAUCAUAUGAAGAUGAUUCGAUAUCAAAUUCAUAUCCAGAAUAACGUAGUUCGGCCAAAAAAAAUUACAUGGUUUAAGUCUUGGCCAAUUAUAAACAAUAAAUGUAUGGAAUUGAGUCGAACCUAAAAAUACAUCCGGGAAAAUAUGAGAGAUAACCCCAUUUGUUUUAAAUAAAGCAAAACUAACAUAUAAGAAAAAUUGUGUGAUUUUCAAACCUUCAAAAUAUCAUGUUUGCCACCUAUAAUAAAUAUCGUAGCUAAAAUAUUUUGGAUGAACAUGGAGAGCAUGUACCUGUUAACUGUUUGUUACCUGUUUAAGAAUAACAUUAAUAGCUUGCCGAAUCCUAAGCAAGAGUAAAUCAUGGAUAUGUUGUGCAGAGAAGCUACCUUUCUGGGAGGUGCUGCAAUGCGAACCAGACAACCUUCGCAUAAAUAAAACUUAUUUUCAAUAUUUGAAAAGCCUGGUACUCUAAGGGUGAUACAAGAGUAAAAGUGGGUAUCCGUAAGAAGACACAAGAAUGAGCGCAAAGACUUCAUUCGCCUUGGAGAAUACACCGUUGGCUUCCCACAAAGCUACCCUUAUUGUGGUCAUUAUAUAAGUUGUCCAAUCUGCCGAACAGUUGAUCCAACCUGAACUCGAGGACUGAGUUGGGAUUGUUGUCAGCAACUAGAAGCGAGUGAUUGCCAUUGCCACAUAACACAGGCUCUUUCUACGACAUGAGGAGAGAGCUCUGUGGACGCAGGGCUGGCAAUCGCGCAGGACUCUGUCAAAGGAUUGCUGGUCGGGAGCGAACAUGCCAGUAAGACUAUCUACGGCAUUCCGAAGAUAAAAUACUCUCGUAUAAAAUUGUAUGACUGCGUAAUAGAGAUAUGUAGAUGUAGAAGAUGAUUAGAGAAUGUUCAUAAGAUAUGGCUCUUAUACGAGAACUAUUCUUCUAAUUUUCAUAAGAAUAGCUUUUACACUGAGGGACUAUACCAAGACUGGAGACAGAUCAAAGCACAUAUAGACAGACGAUCAUACAGUUUUACAGACAGACAGGCUGACAAAAACGACUCAUCAACUCUGCUUUUUUUAUUACCCAAUAUACUUUGGGCGUUCAGAAAUGUUUCCUUCUAUGAGUUACAUAAUGUAUAUCUACUAGCGGUUAUAACACUCCUUGCCUGCGGAAAAUACA